Molecule: small nuclear RNA, 107 nt
Organism: Otolemur garnettii (small-eared galago)
Lineage: Eukaryota; Metazoa; Chordata; Mammalia; Primates; Galagidae
Source: Ensembl
AUGCUUGCUUCGGCAGCCCAUGUGUUAAAAUUGGAACACUACAGAGAAAAUUAGCAUGGCCCCUGCACAAGGAUGACACACAAAUUCGCGAAGUGCUCCAUAUUUAA